RNAcentral lists this small nucleolar RNA (85 nucleotides) under Macleaya cordata. RNAcentral's name for it is "Small nucleolar RNA Z161/Z228". It matches the Rfam family "Small nucleolar RNA Z161/Z228". From Rfam's summary of the family: Z161 and Z228 are members of the C/D class of snoRNA which contain the C (UGAUGA) and D (CUGA) box motifs. Most of the members of the box C/D family function in directing site-specific 2'-O-methylation of substrate RNAs. The record is from Rfam by way of RNAcentral. Lineage: Eukaryota; Viridiplantae; Streptophyta; Magnoliopsida; Ranunculales; Papaveraceae.
AGACCAGAUGAUGAAAAUUGAUUUUAAUCUCACGAUGGUCAUCAGAGACUUUGUGUCGAUGUUGAUUCAAAUCUUUUUGAUGGUU